RNAcentral lists this ribosomal RNA (241 nucleotides) under uncultured bacterium. RNAcentral's name for it is "partial 16S ribosomal RNA". It matches the Rfam family "Bacterial small subunit ribosomal RNA", at positions 15 to 245 of the family's 1533-position model. The record is from RNAcentral.
GAUCCUGGCUCAGGAUGAACGCUAGCUACAGGCUUAACACAUGCAAGUCGAGGGGCAUCAGUUUGGUUUGCUUGCAAACCAAAGCUGGCGACCGGCGCACGGGUGAGUAACACGUAUCCAACCUGCCUCAUACGUCGGGGAUAGCCUUUCGAAAGAAAGAUUAAUAUCCGAUAGCAUAUAUUUCCCGCAUGGGUUUUAUAUUAAAGAAAUUCGGUAUGAGAUGCGGAUGCGUUCCAUUUAG